AGCGAACGCUAGCGGCGUGCCUAACACAUGCAAGUCGAGCGAGAAAGCGGGGGCAACUCCGUGAGUAAAGCGGCGCACGGGUGAGUAACGCGUGGGUAAUCUACCCUCGAGUGUGGAAUAACCUGCCGAAAGGUGGGCUAAUGCCGCAUAAGACCACGGGAGGGAACUUCCGGGGUUAAAGGUGGGGAUUUCCGAAAGGGGACCUAUCGCUUGAGGAUGAGCCCGCGUCCCAUCAGCUUGUUGGCGGGGUAAAGGCCCACCAAGGCGACGAUCCGUAGCUGGUCUGAGAGGAUGGUCAGCCACACUGGAACUGAGACACGGUCCAGACUCCUACGGGAGGCAGCAGUGGGGAAUAUUGGACAAUGGCGCAAGCCUGAUCCAGCCAUGCCACGUGGGUGAAGAAGGCCUUCGGGUUGUAAAGCCCUUUUGUUGGGAAAGAAAAGCAGUCGGUUAAUACCCGAUUGUUCUGACGGUACCCAAAGAAUAAGCACCGGCUGACUUCGUGCCAGCAGCCGCAGUAA
This 521-nucleotide ribosomal RNA is filed under the name uncultured bacterium. Its description in RNAcentral is "partial 16S ribosomal RNA". It matches the Rfam family "Bacterial small subunit ribosomal RNA", at positions 29 to 523 of the family's 1533-position model. The record is from RNAcentral.